RNAcentral lists this ribosomal RNA (254 nucleotides) under uncultured bacterium. RNAcentral describes it as "partial 16S ribosomal RNA". It matches the Rfam family "Bacterial small subunit ribosomal RNA", at positions 524 to 776 of the family's 1533-position model. The record is from RNAcentral.
UACGAAGGGGGCUAGCGUUGUUCGGAAUUACUGGGCGUAAAGCGCACGUAGGCGGGUUGUUAAGUCAGGGGUGAAAUCCUGGAGCUCAACUCCAGAACUGCCUUUGAUACUGGCAACCUAGAGACUGGAAGAGGUUAGUGGAAUUCCCAGUGUAGAGGUGAAAAUUCGUAGAUAUUGGGAAGAACACCAGUGGCGAAGGCGGCUAACUGGUCCAGCACUGACGCUGAGGUGCGAAAGCGUGGGGAGCAAACAGG